GACGGGGACCCGCACAAGCAGCGGAGCAUGUGGUUUAAUUCGAAGCAACGCGAAGAACCUUACCAGAUCUUGACAUCCAAUUGACCAUCUUUUAAUUCGAGAUUUUGCCUUCGGGUACAAUUGAGACAGGUGGUGCAUGGUUGUCGUCAGCUCGUGUCGUGAGAUGUUGGGUUAAGUCCCGCAACGAGCGCAACCCCUAUUGCUAGUUACCAUCAUUAAGUUGGGGACUCUAGCGAGACUGCCAGUGAUAAACUGGAGGAAGGUGGGGAUGACGUCAAAUCAUCAUGCCCCUUAUGACCUGGGCUACAAACGUGAUACAAUGGCUGGAACAAAGGGAUGCGAAGCAGUGAUGUGGAGCGAAACCCAUAAAAACAGUCUCAGUUCGGAUUGAAGUCUGCAACUCGACUUCAUGAAGUCGGAAUCGCUAGUAAUCGCGGAUCAGAACGCCGCGGUGAAUACGUUCUCGGGGUUU
This 472-nucleotide ribosomal RNA is filed under the name uncultured Acholeplasma sp. Its description in RNAcentral is "bacterial SSU rRNA". It matches the Rfam family "Bacterial small subunit ribosomal RNA", at positions 912 to 1382 of the family's 1533-position model. Lineage: Bacteria; Bacillati; Mycoplasmatota; Mollicutes; Acholeplasmatales; Acholeplasmataceae. The record is from RNAcentral.